This 496-nucleotide ribosomal RNA is filed under the name uncultured Glomeromycotina. RNAcentral describes it as "partial small subunit ribosomal RNA". It matches the Rfam family "Eukaryotic small subunit ribosomal RNA", at positions 591 to 1092 of the family's 1831-position model. The record is from RNAcentral. Lineage: Eukaryota; Fungi; Glomeromycota.
CCAAUAGCGUAUAUUAAAGUUGUUGCAGUUAAAAAGCUCGUAGUUGAAUUUCGGGGUUCUACCGUUGGUCAGGCAAUAGUCUGUACUGGCGUGUGGAAUUUCUACCUUCUGGGGAACCAUCAUGUUAUUAAUUUAGCGUGGUGGGAAACCAGGACCUUUACCUUGAAAAAAUUAGAGUGUUCAAAGCAGGCUUACGUCUGAAUACAUUAGCAUGGAAUAAUAAAAUAGGACGGUGGUCCUGUUUUGUUGGUUUCUGAAUCACCGUAAUGAUUAAUAGGGAUAGUUGGGGGCAUUAGUAUUCAAUUGUCAGAGGUGAAAUUCUUGGAUUUAUUGAAGACUAACUUCUGCGAAAGCAUUUGCCAAGGAUGUUUUCAUUAAUCAAGAACGAAAGUUAGGGGAUCGAAGACGAUCAGAUACCGUCGUAGUCUUAACCAUAAACUAUGCCGACUAGGGAUCGGACGAUGUUAAUUUUUCUUGACUCGUUCGGCGCCUUACG